Long non-coding RNA from Carassius auratus (goldfish), 538 nucleotides. RefSeq lists it as uncharacterized. The record is from RefSeq and is a predicted model, not a curated record. The transcript has 3 exons. NCBI's taxonomy places the organism in Eukaryota, Metazoa, Chordata, Actinopteri, Cypriniformes, Cyprinidae.
GACGAAUGCGGGAACGUUGCGAUAUUUCCUGCUUAAUAUUUUCAGAUAUGGGAAAAGCUCUUAAGAUGAGCACACGUUUCAGGAACGUUAAAAUUAAGUUGGUGAGGAGGUCUAUCGCUGGCCCUGCGAAGUUUUCUUACCUCAGUCAAGGUCUUCCCCAGCCCAGCUACAAACAGACCCACCCUUCAGACCCUUCUAUUACAUCUCAACCUGCUGAACCUGAUGAUGCGACACAAGCUGUUCUGAGAGCGCAUACAGUAAGGCAAAGAAGAGAGAGCUUCAUGCCUGGGAUGCAGUCAAGGAUGAGAUGCUUAAGGUGACAUUUGAAUGUACAGCACCGAUCACUACCCAGUGUGCUGUCUGCUGAGAACAUGCUGAUUAUAGGUGCAUUGAGUGCAGCUCCACUGCAGUGUUCUGUGAGGUUUGCCUGAAGAGGAUUCACAGAAAUUCACUGCAUCUUCCUGAAAAGUGGAAUAAUGUUUACUAUGAGCCAUCCUCCCUGGGGUUAUUCUUAUAUUUAACUGAAGGCCAUGGCACC